GAUGAACGCUGGCGGCGUGCCUAAUACAUGCAAGUCGAGCGAAUGGAUUAAGAGCUUGCUCUUAUGAAGUUAGCGGCGGACGGGUGAGUAACACGUGGGUAACCUGCCCAUAAGACUGGGAUAACUCCGGGAAACCGGGGCUAAUACCGGAUAACAUUUUGAACCGCAUGGUUCGAAAUUGAAAGGCGGCUUCGGCUGUCACUUAUGGAUGGCCCCGCGUCGCAUUAGCUAGUGGGUGAGGUAACGGCUCACCAAGGCAACGAUGCGUAGCCGACCUGAGAGGGUGAUCGGCCACACUGGGACUGAGACACGGCCCAGACUCCUACGGGAGGCAGCAGUAGGGAAUCUUCCGCAAUGGACGAAAGUCUGACGGAGCAACGCCGCGUGAGUGAUGGAGGCUUUCGGGUCGUAAAACUCUGUUGUUAGGGAAGAACAAGUGCUAGUUGAAUAAGCUGGCACCUUGACGGUACCUAACCAGAAAGCCACGGCUAACUACGUGCCAGCAGCCGCCGUAA
This 515-nucleotide ribosomal RNA is filed under the name uncultured bacterium. RNAcentral's name for it is "partial 16S ribosomal RNA". It matches the Rfam family "Bacterial small subunit ribosomal RNA", at positions 28 to 523 of the family's 1533-position model. The record is from RNAcentral.